This 527-nucleotide ribosomal RNA is filed under the name uncultured bacterium. RNAcentral's name for it is "bacterial SSU rRNA". It matches the Rfam family "Bacterial small subunit ribosomal RNA", at positions 777 to 1304 of the family's 1533-position model. The record is from RNAcentral.
AAUAGAUACCCGGGUAGUCCACGCCGUAAACGAUGUCGACUUGGAGGUUGUUCCCUUGAGGAGUGGCUUCCGGAGCUAACGCGUUAAGUCGACCGCCUGGGGAGUACGGCCGCAAGGUUAAAACUCAAAUGAAUUGACGGGGGCCCGCACAAGCGGUGGAGCAUGUGGUUUAAUUCGAUGCAACGCGAAGAACCUUACCUACUCUUGACAUCCAGAGAACUUAGCAGAGAUGCUUUGGUGCCUUCGGGAACUCUGAGACAGGUGCUGCAUGGCUGUCGUCAGCUCGUGUUGUGAAAUGUUGGGUUAAGUCCCGCAACGAGCGCAACCCUUAUCCUUUGUUGCCAGCGGUUCGGCCGGGAACUCAAAGGAGACUGCCAGUGAUAAACUGGAGGAAGGUGGGGAUGACGUCAAGUCAUCAUGGCCCUUACGAGUAGGGCUACACACGUGCUACAAUGGCGUAUACAAAGAGAAGCGACCUCGCGAGAGCAAGCGGACCUCAUAAAGUACGUCGUAGUCCGGAUUGGAGU